This 325-nucleotide ribosomal RNA is filed under the name uncultured eukaryote. RNAcentral describes it as "partial 18S ribosomal RNA". It matches the Rfam family "Eukaryotic small subunit ribosomal RNA", at positions 1470 to 1796 of the family's 1831-position model. The record is from RNAcentral.
CCCUUAGAUGUUCUGGGCUGCACGCGCGCUACACUGAUGCAUCCAACGAGUUUUUGACCUGAGCCGAUAGGCCUAGGUAAUCUUGUGAGUAUGCAUCGUGAUGGGGAUAGAUUAUUGCAAUUAUUAAUCUUCAACGAGGAAUGCCUAGUAGGCGCGAGUCAACAGCUCGUGCCGAUUACGUCCCUGCCCUUUGUACACACCGCCCGUCGCUCCUACCGAUUGAAUGCUCAGGUGAGCCAUUCGGACUUUCAUCAUGCUGGUUUCCAGUUUUGAUGAAGGAAAGUCUUGCGAACCUUAUCAUUUAGAGGAAGGAGAAGUCGUAACA